RNAcentral lists this ribosomal RNA (497 nucleotides) under uncultured bacterium. RNAcentral describes it as "partial 16S ribosomal RNA". It matches the Rfam family "Bacterial small subunit ribosomal RNA", at positions 28 to 507 of the family's 1533-position model. The record is from RNAcentral.
GAUGAACGCUGGCGGCGUGCCUAAUACAUGCAAGUCGAGCGAACGGACGAGAAGCUUGCUUCUCUGAUGUUAGCGGCGGACGGGUGAGUAACACGUGGAUAACCUACUUAUCUGACUGGGAUCACUUCGGGAAACCGGAGCUAAUACCGGAUAAUCUUUUGCACCGCAUGGUUCAAAAGUGAAAGUCGGUCUUGCUGUCUCUUCUAGAUGGAUCCGCGCUGCAUUAGCUAGUUGGUAAGGUAACGGGUUAUCAAGGCAACGAUGCAUAUCCGACGUGCGAGGGGGGUAGGCCACACGGGAAGGUAAACACGGUCCAGGCUCCUGCGGUAGGCAGCAGUAGGGAAUCUGCCGCAAAGGUCGAAAGCAUUGCGGAGCAACGCGACGUGAGUUAUAAAAGUCCUCGGAGCGUAAAACUCUGUUAUGAGUGAAGAACAUAUUUGUAAGUAACUGAACACAUCUUGACGGUACCUAAUCAGAAAGCCACGGCUAACUACGUG